This is a long non-coding RNA of Eriocheir sinensis (Chinese mitten crab), 486 nucleotides long. RefSeq lists it as uncharacterized. The transcript is spliced from 3 exons. NCBI's taxonomy places the organism in Eukaryota, Metazoa, Arthropoda, Malacostraca, Decapoda, Varunidae. The record is from RefSeq and is a predicted model, not a curated record.
ACGACUCACGGCAGGUCGAUGCGAUGCGUAACGUACAGGUAAAGGUGUGCAGGUGUGUAAGUAUGCAGGUGUGUAAGUAUGCAGGUGUGUAAGUAUGCAGGUGUGUAAGUAUGCAGGUGUGUAAGUAUGCAGGUGUGUAAGUAUGCAGGUGUGUAAGUAUGCAGGUGUGUAAGUAUGCAGGUGUGUAAGUAUGCAGGUGUGUAAGUAUGCAGGUGUGUAAGUAUGCAGGUGUGUAAGUAUGCAGGUGUGUAAGUAUGCAGGUGUGUAAGUAUGCAGGUGUGUAAGUAUGCAGGUGUGUAAGUAUGCAGGUGUGUAAGUAUGCAGGUGUGUAAGUAUGCAGGUGUGUAAGUAUGCAGGUGUGUAAGUAUGCAGGUGUGUAGGUGUGUUUGUGUAUAGUUGGAGGCGUAUAGGAGUGAUUGGUGAUACACUGAUAGAUAGAUAGAUAGAUAUAGAUAGAUAGAUAUAGAUAGACAUGUAGAUAGAUAG